This 538-nucleotide ribosomal RNA is filed under the name uncultured archaeon. RNAcentral describes it as "bacterial SSU rRNA". It matches the Rfam family "Archaeal small subunit ribosomal RNA", at positions 285 to 823 of the family's 1478-position model. The record is from RNAcentral.
AGAGCCCGGAGAUGGAUUCUGAGACACGAAUCCAGGCCCUACGGGGUGCAGCAGGCGCGAAAACUUUACAAUGCCGGCAACGGCGAUAAGGGAACCUCGAGUGCCAGGUUACAAAUCUGGCUGUCGAGAUGCCUAAAAAGCAUUUCAUAGCAAGGGCCGGGCAAGACCGGUGCCAGCCGCCGCGGUAACACCGGCGGCUCGAGUGGUAACCGUUAUUAUUGGGUCUAAAGGGUCUGUAGCCGGCCGGAUAAGUCUCUUGAGAAAUCUGGCAGCUUAACUGUCAGGCUUUCAGGAGAUACUGUCUGGCUCGAGGCCGGGAGAGGUGAGAGGUACUUCAGGGGUAGGGGUGAAAUCUUGUAAUCCUUGAAGGACCACCAGUGGCGAAGGCGUCUCACCAGAACGGACCUGACGGCAAGGGACGAAAGCUAGGGGCACGAACCGGAUUAGAUACCCGGGUAGUCCUAGCCGUAAACGAUACUCGCUAGGUGUCGGCCACGGUGCGACCGUUGUCGGUGCCGUAGGGAAGCCGUGAAGCGAG